AGCUCCAAUAGCGUAUAUUAAAGUUGUUGCGGUUAAAAAGCUCGUAGUUGGAUCUUCGGUCCAGGAGAGUGGUCCCCCAGUGGGUGUGUACUACUUGUUCCUGACCUAAUUUUUCUGGUUGGCUCUUGUUGCUCUUAACUGAGUGGCUUGAGUGGCUAGAACUUUUACUUUGAAAAAAUUAGAGUGCUUAAAGCAGACGAUAGUCUGAAUAGUGGUGCAUGGAAUAAUGGAAUAGGACCUCGGUUCUAUUUUGUUGGUUUAAGAUCUCGAGGUAAUGAUUAGUAGGGACAGACGGGGGCAUUCGUAUUGCGACGUUAGAGGUGAAAUUCUUGGAUCGUCGCAAGACGGACUACUGCGAAAGCAUUUGCCAAGAAUGUUUUCA
RNAcentral lists this ribosomal RNA (382 nucleotides) under uncultured eukaryote. RNAcentral describes it as "SSU rRNA". It matches the Rfam family "Eukaryotic small subunit ribosomal RNA", at positions 587 to 972 of the family's 1831-position model. The record is from RNAcentral.